UGUGUAUGAUGACCUUUUUUUGCGGAAUCCGAGUUAAAUGUGCGGAUACUCACCUUGGAGAACUGAACACUCA
Small nucleolar RNA from Electrophorus electricus (electric eel), 73 nucleotides. Lineage: Eukaryota; Metazoa; Chordata; Actinopteri; Gymnotiformes; Gymnotidae. The record is from RefSeq and is a predicted model, not a curated record.